RNAcentral lists this ribosomal RNA (497 nucleotides) under uncultured bacterium. RNAcentral describes it as "partial 16S ribosomal RNA". It matches the Rfam family "Bacterial small subunit ribosomal RNA", at positions 28 to 507 of the family's 1533-position model. The record is from RNAcentral.
GAUGAACGCUGGCGGCGUGCCUAAUACAUGCAAGUCGAGCGAACAGAUGAGGAGCUUGCCCCUCUGACGUUAGCGGCGGACGGGUGAGUAACACGUGGAUAACCUACCUAUAAGACUGGGAUAACUUCGGGAAACCGUAGCUAAUACCGGAUAAUAUAUUGAACCGCAUGGUUCAAUAGUGAAAGACGGUUUUGCUGUCACUUAUAGAUGUAUCCGUGCCGCAUUAGCUAGUUGGUAAGGUAACGGCUUACCAAGGCAACGAUGCGUAGCCGACCUGAGAGGGUGAUCAGCCACACUGGAACUGAGACACGGUCCAGACUCCUACGGGAGGCAGCAGUAGGGAAUCUUCCGCAAUGGGCGAAAGCCUGACGGAGCAACGCCGCGUGAGUGAUGAAGGUCUUCGGAUCGUAAAACUCUGUUAUUAGGGAAGAACAUAUGUGUAAGUACCUGUGCACAUCUUGACGGUACCUAAACAGAAAGCCACGGCUAACUACGUG